GUGAGGAAUAUUGGUCAAUGGGCGGGAGCCUGAACCAGCCAAGUCGUGUGAAGGAAGAAGGAUCUAUGGUUCGUAAACUUCUUUUGCAGGGGAAUAAAGUGCAGGACGUGUCCUGUUUUGUAUGUACCCUGAGAAUAAGGAUCGGCUAACUCCGUGCCAGCAGCCGCGGUAAUACGGAGGAUCCGAGCGUUAUCCGGAUUUAUUGGGUUUAAAGGGUGCGUAGGUGGUUUGAUAAGUCAGCGGUGAAAGUUUGCAGCUUAACUGUAAAAAUGCCGUUGAAACUGUCGGACUUGAGUGUAAAUGAGGUAGGCGGAAUGCGUGGUGUAGCGGUGAAAUGCAUAGAUAUCACGCAGAACUCCGAUUGCGAAGGCAGCUUACUAAGCUACAACUAACACUGAAGCACGAAAGCGUGGGGAUCAAACAGGAUUAGAAACCCCAGUAGUCC
This 445-nucleotide ribosomal RNA is filed under the name uncultured bacterium. RNAcentral's name for it is "partial 16S ribosomal RNA". It matches the Rfam family "Bacterial small subunit ribosomal RNA", at positions 354 to 796 of the family's 1533-position model. The record is from RNAcentral.